Molecule: ribosomal RNA, 165 nt
Filed under: uncultured bacterium
Lineage: Bacteria
Description: partial 16S ribosomal RNA
Rfam family: Bacterial small subunit ribosomal RNA
Source: RNAcentral
UAGGGAAUCUUCGGCAAUGGACGAAAGUCUGACCGAGCAACGCCGCGUGAGUGAAGAAGGUUUUCGGAUCGUAAAACUCUGUUGGUAGAGAAGAACGUUGGUGAGAGUGGAAAGCUCAUCAAGUGACGGUAACUACCCAGAAAGGGACGGCUAACUACGUGCCGA